This is an RNA transcript of Centropristis striata (black sea bass), 3901 nucleotides long. It is a transcript of the gene named host cell factor C2, with no coding region annotated. NCBI's taxonomy places the organism in Eukaryota, Metazoa, Chordata, Actinopteri, Perciformes, Serranidae. The record is from RefSeq and is a predicted model, not a curated record. The transcript has 17 exons.
ACAAGUCUGCAAUUUUUCUUACAUUCAUUUAGAUGUUGAUACCAUUGAAAUGAGGUAGAGUGAGACCUCCUGUUGUGUCUUCACCUCUCUGGUUGAGCUUCCUGAGGCUCCUUGGCUCCGCCCCCGUCUUUGAAACGUCAACAGCGGUAAACUUGAGGCUCCCUAACGGGAAGAUGAACCCUGGUUCCGAGGAGCCGCAGUGGAGGAAAGUUCACUCAGUUACAGGAGUGGUACCGCGGUCUAGACAUGGACACCGAGCAGCUGCGAUCCGGGAGCUGAUUGUUGUGUUCGGUGGAGGAAACGAAGGGAUAGCGGAGGACCUCCAUGUUUACAACACUGUCUCUAAGCAGUGGUUUCUGCCUGCUGUACGGGGUGAUAUCCCCCCCGGCUGUGCUGCCCAUGGCUUCAUCUGCGAAGGAACUCGUAUACUGGUCUUUGGAGGCAUGGUUGAGUUUGGAAAAUACACCAACAGCGUCUAUGAACUUCAGGCCAGUCGCUGGCUGUGGAAGAAGCUGAAACCCAAAGCACCAAGGAACGGCUUGCUUCCCUGCCCUCGCAUCGGACACAGCUUUACUCUAGUGGGUAACAAGUGCUACAUGUUUGGAGGGCUGGCCAACGAUAGUGAAGACCCCAAUGGCAACGUACCAAGAUACAUGCGGGACUUCUAUGAGCUGGAGCUGCAGCCGCUAUCAGGGGUAAAAGGCUGGAGCAUCCCAGAGACAAAGGGUGGAGGUCCCUCAGCACGGGAGUCCCACACCUCAGUUGCCUACACAGGCAUCAGCUCCCCGAAGCUCUACAUCUUUGGAGGCAUGCAGGGAUGCCGGUUAGACGACCUGUGGCAGCUUGACCUGGAAACAAUGGUUUGGUCAAUGCCUGAAACCAGAGGUUGCACUCCACUUCCCAGAAGCCUUCACUCUGCCAAUGUUAUUGGAAACAAGAUGUACGUUUUUGGUGGCUGGAUUCCUGUUCCAGAGUCGGACAAACACAAUGCUUUAGGAACUGAAUGGAUCUGCAGUGACUCCUUAACUGUACUCAACCUGGACACUAUGAUCUGGCAGAACCUGGGCCCAGAGCAGCAGGAAGACAUCGAGUCCCAGCUGCAGAGCCAGGGGCCCCAGAGUGACGAUCAGUACGCCUGUAGGCCCAGAGCCAGGGCCGGACACUGUGCUGCCACUGUCGGCUCCAGACUUUACAUCUGGAGCGGCCGUGACGGAUACCGUAAGAGCUGGAACUACCAGGUCUGCUGCAAGGACCUGUGGUACCUGGAGACAGAUCGACCAGCCACCCCAGAGGCAGUGGUACUCAUCAAAUCCACAGUCAGCAUGCUUCAUGUGGCGUGGCGCCCCCUGGCGGCAGCAGACUGCUACAUCCUUCAGAUCCAGCCUGCACCUCCACCAGCCAAACCAGUCGAUCCAACCGGAACGGGUAAAAACUAUGCAGGUGUCCAGUCUCUUCAACCUCAAACUGGAGGAAGCACUAAUACAGAAGCAUCAGCUCAGGAGGCUUCAGCUCAGAAGGAAAUUGCAGAAAAACUGAACUGCUCAGCAGAGACUAAAGCACAAGGAGGGAGGAGUGCUGGGAGGGAGACGGAGAAACACUCAGACACACAAGGCUGCGGUGCUGGACAGGAGACUUCCGUUUCAGAGGUCAGCAGCUCAGUUCAUCCAGAGAAAGAACCUGUUCCAGGUGACAAGACAGCAGAUAUCUACGCCCAAACACAUCAGCUCCAGCAGAGUCCAGAUGGAGGAGUGUGGUUUGAUGUUGGUGUCUUCAAAACGCUCUUCUCUGAGGUCAGCCACUACUUUCUACCUGCUGACAGUGAGCACGCGACUGCAGCCAUCAGCAGCCGGCUGCUCAACACUAAAGAGAGGAAGCUGCCGGGGCCUCAGGACUACCAGGGCAGAGAGAAGCAGGAGCUGGCUCCAGGUCUGACCUACAGGUUCAGAGUUGCAGGCAUCAACUACUUUGACCAGGGAGACUUCAGCCCAGUUAGCGAGUUCAAGACCUGCCAACCUGGUUUUCCUGGAGCGCCCUCUGCUGUCACAAUCACCAAGGCCAAUGAUUCGGUCCACAUCACAUGGGAGGCUCCCCCCUCUCCAUCAGGCCGGAUCCUGGAGUACUCCAUGUACAUGGCGGUGAGGAAGAGCCGCUCCACCAGCUCGGAGCGUCCAGGUCAGAUGGCCUUUAUCAGGAUCUACCGCGGCACCAAGAUGUCCUGCAUGGUCAGCUCCACCCAGCUGGAUAACGCCCAGAUCGACUGCUCUGCAUCCAACCGGCCUGCUGUGGUCUUCAGAAUAGCCGCUAAGAAUGAGCAGGGCUAUGGCCCGGCGACACAGAUCCGCUGGAUUCAAGGUGGAGAAGCUUGACUUUCUUUAGGCUACGUUUACACGAUGACAGUCUGAACAGAAGACGCAAAAGUGGCAUCUAAACCUUUUAUUUCGCAUUUAUACGAGCGUUUUCAGGAGGAAAUCUGACGCAUGGAAAUAAUCCCACGUUUGUUUAUUUCCCUGCAUUACACAUUAGCCGGUCACACAUUAGCCGGUUGCAUUAGCCGGAUGCACAUUAGCCGGUCACACAUUAGCCGGUCACACAUUAGCCGGUCACGCAUUAGCCAGUUGCAUUAGCAGGUUGCAUUAACCGGUCACACAGUAGCAGGUCACACUCCUUCCACAAAGUUCUCCACCAUCCACUAGAUCUCCCAGGUCUCGUCCAAAGCCGUCUGGCUCGCCUCCUACCAAUUGGUGCAUCUGAAAUGUGAUAGAGAUCCCAGUAAACUAAAAGCACCUGCAUCCAAAGCCGACAGCAAUGCUCAGGCCGAUCAGGAUGCUGCUGACAGCUCCAGUUGAAAAUGUUUGGACCGAUGAUGCCAUAUUUUGGAAAAGACAUUAUGUACACUCAGGAAGUUGGCAGCAUACGCCACUCAGAUGUUGUAUAUUUCUUAGAUAGUUUUGUUAAUUUAUUUUUUUAUGUAUUUAAUUAUUCCCUUGUAAAUACAUUUUCAUAGAAAACUUGACCACUUACAUAGGGAUGUUUUAGUUAAACAAUUGUUUUGUUAAGUAAUGAGUAAUAUGAUGUAGACCAAACUACAAGUAUGACUUCAGAAAUGAAACUCUUCAGAUGUUGGAGGUGCCUUAGCUCACUGCAUCAGCCACUGAUGCUGCUUUAAACCGUAUGUGGUGGUUUGGAGGAAACAUAUGAGAUAAGAUGUUUUGCAGAACCAGUGUAUAUCAGAAAGAAACACUUUUUAUUGUUUUAUUAUUUGAUGAUUUACUAUGAUGCAGGUUCCGUUUAAGAUCUCUGUUAAUAUGUUUUGUUACUAUACACAACUGUGUGUUACUACAAACUUUUUGACUAACAUUACAUCACUUGAUCACAUCUUUUGGUUUAUGAUUUUGUUGUAUUUCUUUUUUUUAUCACUGCCACCAGAUUGUUAACAUUAAUUACCAGUUACAAUUGUAAGAUAAAAAGGUCAACACUUUGACUAAAGAACAUAGCACCACUAACAUUUAUUAUUUGACUUAAUGAUAUUAAAAAUGCCACAAAUAUUGCAGGAAGGGAUUUGCAUGUUAAAAGUAUUAUUAUGUCUGGUUUGACCAGCUCACCAUUUAAUGGGCAUGUUGUAUUAUUAUAAUCUACACUAUCCACCAUCAUAUCCUGACUCUGUAUUAUUACAGGCCUUUUUAAUCGUUGUAGUGAAGGAAUUUGAGGAGAGAUUGUUAUCCAGAUCUCAAAUCAUUGUGCCAGUUGUUGCUUCACUUCAUGUUCUUGUCCAAAGAAGAGCAAUUCUCUUAUUUUUUUAAUUGAAACGAUUAUUUUCGUUAUCGAAUAAUCUGUUGAUUAUUUAAAUGAUUAAUCGCUUAGUUGUUUGGCCAAUAAAAUGUUGAAAAAUAUUAAUCAGUGU